UCUUUCCAACCCUUCUAAAAUCAUCCAAAGAAGCUUCCCAAGCUACUAAUUUAAUUUGGUAACAUCUAAUUCUCAGAUUUGCAUCAAUAUGACCAUUUUUGCCCAAAUUGACUACAAUUUCAGCAUUCGAGUAACCAUAGCAAUUGGGGUUCGUUAACCACUUCGAUUCCAUUUAUAUCUAUUCUCACACUUCCAAAAUAUGUCAACGACAGAUCACAAGCUGCUAAUUAAGUUUAAAAUUACUUAAUUUGCAUUUUAGCAUUAUUGUGGUCACUUUGAUCACAAUUAGCCUAUAAUCGAAAUUCAGCCCAUUACAUACUAUGCCAUUCAUGUUCAUUACCCAAUCCACUUGGCUAACC
Molecule: long non-coding RNA, 359 nt
Filed under: Ananas comosus (pineapple)
Lineage: Eukaryota; Viridiplantae; Streptophyta; Magnoliopsida; Poales; Bromeliaceae
Description: long non-coding RNA (ACOM_LNC037977)
Source: RNAcentral